GACGAACGCUGGCGGCGUGCUUAACACAUGCAAGUCGAACGGAAAGGCCCUGCUUUUGUGGGGUGCUCGAGUGGCGAACGGGUGAGUAACACGUGAGUAACCUGCCCUUGACUUUGGGAUAACUUCAGGAAACUGGGGCUAAUACCGGAUAGGAUCUCCUGCUGCAUGGUGGGGGUUGGAAAGUUUCGGCGGUUGGGGAUGGACUCGCGGCUUAUCAGCUUGUUGGUGGGGUAGUGGCUUACCAAGGCUUUGACGGGUAGCCGGCCUGGGAGGGUGACCGGCCACAUUGGGACUGAGAUACGGCGCAGAAUCCUACGGGAGGCAGCAGUGGGGAAUAUUGCACAAUGGGCGGAAGCCUGAUGCAGCAACGCCGCGUGCGGGAUGACGGCCUUCGGGUUGUAAACCGCUUUCGACUGUGACGAAGCGUGAGUGACGGUAAUGGGUAAAGAAGCACCGGCUAACUACGUG
RNAcentral lists this ribosomal RNA (468 nucleotides) under uncultured bacterium. RNAcentral's name for it is "partial 16S ribosomal RNA". It matches the Rfam family "Bacterial small subunit ribosomal RNA", at positions 28 to 507 of the family's 1533-position model. The record is from RNAcentral.